UUGGAGGGCAAGUCUGGUGCCAGCAGCCGCGGUAAUUCCAGCUCCAAUAGCGUAUAUUAAAGUUGUUGCAGUUAAAAAGCUCGUAGUUGAACUUCGGGAUCAAUGGAUCGGUCAUGCCGUUGGUAUGUACUGGUCACAUUGGUUCUCACCUUCUAAGGAACCAUGAUGUCAUUCAUUUGAUGUUGUGGGGAAUUAGGACUGUUACCUUGAAAAAAUUAGAGUGUUUAAAGCAGGCUAACGCUUGAAUACAUUGGCAUGGAAUAAUGAAAUAGGACAUCGCAUUCUAUUUUGUUGGUUUCUAGGAUCGAUGUAAUGAUUAAUAGGGAUAGUUGGGGGCAUUAGUAUUCAAUUGUCAGAGGUGAAAUUCUUGGAUUUAUUGAAGACUAACUACUGCGAAAGCAUUUGCCAAGGAUGUUUUCAUUAAUCAAGAACGAAAGUUAGGGGAUCGAAGACGAUCAGAUACCGUCGUAGUCUUAACCAUAAACUAUGCCGACUAGGGAUCGGAUGAUGUUGAUUUUUUAAUGACUCAUUCGGCGCCUUACGGGAAAC
Molecule: ribosomal RNA, 549 nt
Filed under: uncultured Glomus
Lineage: Eukaryota; Fungi; Glomeromycota; Glomeromycetes; Glomerales; Glomeraceae
Description: SSU rRNA
Rfam family: Eukaryotic small subunit ribosomal RNA
Source: RNAcentral